RNAcentral lists this ribosomal RNA (728 nucleotides) under uncultured bacterium. RNAcentral's name for it is "bacterial SSU rRNA". It matches the Rfam family "Bacterial small subunit ribosomal RNA", at positions 94 to 823 of the family's 1533-position model. The record is from RNAcentral.
AGCGGCGAACGGGUGAGUAACACGUAGGUGAACUGCCCAUCAGACGGGGACAACGAUUGGAAACGAUCGCUAAUACCGGAUAGGACGAAAGUUUAAAGGUGCUUCUGGCACCGCUGAUGGAUGAGCCUGCGGCGCAUUAGCUAGUUGGUAGGGUAAAGGCCUACCAAGGCGACGAUGCGUAGCCGACCUGAGAGGGUGAACGGCCACACUGGGACUGAGACACGGCCCAGACUCCUACGGGAGGCAGCAGUAGGGAAUCUUCGGCAAUGGGCGAAAGCCUGACCGAGCAACGCCGCGUGAAUGAUGAAGGCCUUCGGGUUGUAAAAUUCUGUUAUAAGGGAAGAACGACUUUAGUAGGAAAUGGCUAGAGUGUGACGGUACCUUAUGAGAAAGCCACGGCUAACUACGUGCCAGCAGCCGCGGUAAUACGUAGGUGGCGAGCGUUAUCCGGAAUUAUUGGGCGUAAAGAGCGCGCAGGUGGUUGAUUAAGUCUGAUGUGAAAGCCCACGGCUUAACCGUGGAGGGUCAUUGGAAACUGGUCGACUUGAGUGCAGAAGAGGGAAGUGGAAUUCCAUGUGUAGCGGUGAAAUGCGUAGAGAUAUGGAGGAACACCAGUGGCGAAAGGCGGCUUCCUGGUCUGUAACUGACACUGAGGCGCGAAAGCGUGGGGAGCAAACAGGGUUUAGAUACCCUGGUAGUCCAUGCCGCAAACGAUGAGUGCUAAGUGU